Molecule: long non-coding RNA, 593 nt
Organism: Amphimedon queenslandica
Lineage: Eukaryota; Metazoa; Porifera; Demospongiae; Haplosclerida; Niphatidae
Exons: 3
Source: RefSeq, a predicted model, not a curated record
GUGCAGAAGUAAAAGCAGCUAAUUUGCUACUACCCUUGUCGUCAAAAGUGUCAUGGGCAGAUUUAAAGACAUGUGAUGUGCCUUCAGAUAUUCCAUUUGAAAUAAAAGGUGUGGCAACUUCAUUAAAGAGCAUGAUUGUGAACAGAUCUGAUAACAGCUUCUCAAAGGCAUUCACUAGACUAUUGCUUGAGUUCAUCAAGACAUAUUCCUUAUGAGUACCCCAUGCCACGCAUUGUGAUGUGUAAGUUCCAAUAGUAUUUUUUUGCUUAUCUACUUUUUUAGUCUGAGCCCCAAGUCUGAGCAUGAUAUUAGAGGGUUUGAGGUUCACAAUUUCCAGCAGCAGAAGAUUCCACAGCCACUUUUCGAUUCUUGCUCAUGAAGCGACCACUGCCGGAGUCCAAAAAGAGCUAGGAGUAGGACAAAAUGCAGUGUCCCUGUGGAUAACUAUGAAGGGCUCGAAUCUUCUUCAGAUAAGACAGAUGAGACAAUGGACACGGAUGCAGAUGAUAAUACAGUCAGGCCAGCUAUUGUAUCAUGUACACAGGACCAGAUUCUCCUUGUAGUGAAUUGGUUGCCCCUAUGUUUAUCAAUCU